RNAcentral lists this ribosomal RNA (484 nucleotides) under uncultured bacterium. RNAcentral's name for it is "partial 16S ribosomal RNA". It matches the Rfam family "Bacterial small subunit ribosomal RNA", at positions 30 to 507 of the family's 1533-position model. The record is from RNAcentral.
AUUGAACGCUGGCGGCAGGCCUAACACAUGCAAGUCGAGCGGAAGAAGGGAGCUUGCUCCUGGAUUCAGCGGCGGACGGAUGAGUAAUGCCUAGGAAUCUGCCUGGUAGUGGGGGAUAACGUCCGGAAACGGGCGCUAAUACCGCAUACGUCCUGAGGGCGUAAGUGGGGGAUCUUCGGACCUCACGCUAUCAGAUGAGCCUAGGUCGGAUUAGCUAGUUGGUGGGGUAAAGGCCUACCAAGGCGACGAUCCGUAACUGGUCUGAGAGGAUGAUCAGUCACACUGGAACUGAGACACGGUCCAGACUCCUACGGGAGGCAGCAGUGGGGAAUAUUGGACAAUGGGCGAAAGCCUGAUCCAGCCAUGCCGCGUGUGUGAAGUAGGUCUUCGGAUUGUAAAGCACUUUAAGUUGGGAGGAAGGGCAGUAAGUUAAUACCUUGCUGUUUUGACGUUACCAACAGAAUAAGCACCGGCUAACUUCGUG